RNAcentral lists this ribosomal RNA (468 nucleotides) under uncultured bacterium. RNAcentral describes it as "partial 16S ribosomal RNA". It matches the Rfam family "Bacterial small subunit ribosomal RNA", at positions 28 to 507 of the family's 1533-position model. The record is from RNAcentral.
GACGAACGCUGGCGGCGUGCUUAACACAUGCAAGUCGAACGGAAAGGCCCUGCUGUUGUGGGGUGCUCGAGUGGCGAACGGGUGAGUAACACGUGAGUAACCUGCCCUUGACUUUGGGAUAACUUCAGGAAACUGGGGCUAAUACCGGAUAGGAGCUCCUGCUGCAUGGUGGGGGAUGGAAAGUUUCGGCGGUUGGGUAUGGACUCGCGGCUUAUGAGCUUGUUGGUGGGGUAGUGGCUUACCAAGGCUUUGACGGGUAGCCGGCCUGAGAGGGUGACCGGCCACAUUGGGACUGAGGUACGGCCCAGACUGCUACGGGAGGCAGCAGUGGGGAAUAUUGCACAAUGGGCGGAAGCCUGAUGCAGCAACGCCGCGUGCGGGAUGACGGCCUUCGGGUUGUAAACCGCUUUCGCCUGUGACGAAGCGUGAGUGACGGUAAUGGGUAAAGAAGCACCGGCUAACUACGUG